Molecule: ribosomal RNA, 622 nt
Filed under: uncultured Clostridium sp.
Lineage: Bacteria; Bacillati; Bacillota; Clostridia; Eubacteriales; Clostridiaceae
Description: bacterial SSU rRNA
Rfam family: Bacterial small subunit ribosomal RNA
Source: RNAcentral
GUGGAAGAUUACUAAUGAGAGUGGCGAACGGGUGAGUAACGCGUGAGCAACCUGCCUAUGACAGUGGGAUAGCCUCGGGAAACCGGGAUUAAUACCGCAUAAAAUCGUAGAAACACAUGUUUCAACGGUCAAAGAUUUAUCGGUCAUAGAUGGGCUCGCGUCUGAUUAGCUAGUUGGUGAGAUAACAGCCCACCAAGGCGACGAUCAGUAGCCGGUCUGAGAGGAUGAACGGCCACAUUGGAACUGAGACACGGUCCAAACUCCUACGGGAGGCAGCAGUGGGGAAUAUUGCACAAUGGGGGAAACCCUGAUGCAGCGACGCCGCGUGAACGAAGAAGGUAUUCGUAUCGUAAAGUUCUGUCCUAUGGGAAGAUAAUGACAGUACCAUAGAAGAAAGCUCCGGCUAAAUACGUGCCAGCAGCCGCGGUAAUACGUAUGGAGCGAGCGUUGUCCGGAAUUAUUGGGCGUAAAGGGUACGCAGGCGGUUUAAUAAGUCGAAUGUUAAAGAUCGGGGCUCAACCCCGUAAAGCAUUGGAAACUGAUAAACUUGAGUAGUGGAGAGGAAAGUGGAAUUCCUAGUGUAGUGGUGAAAUACGUAGAUAUUAGGAGGAAUACCAGUAGC